ACGACCUGCAGAUCCCAACACUCCAGGAUGGUGCAGGACAUCAGUCUCAAGGUAAUUGGUCACAGAGGUGAGAACCUUACUGAAAAAUCAGAAUGUGAACCCUGGAAGGUUCCUGAAAGAUGAGCUAGACGGUUUUGAAACUGUAUUGGGAAUCCCAAGUGUAGCUCAAGGCUACUGGUCUUCGAGGUACCAGGCUGGGUAUGUCGGGGAGGUAGGUGCCUGGUGUCUGCCUGCUGGCGACGAUGACUGCGAGCCCUUUCUCAAGACUUCGGCCCACCUGGGUCUUGGGCAAUGUAGUGCCCAGCAUCGGCCGCGAGAGGGAGCUCUAACCUGAGACUUGGCGGCCGCAGGGCUGGCUCAGUGGACCGCAGGGGAGAAAACAGGGCAAGGGGUUGAGCGCCAUCAGGAGCCAUUCCACAGUGACCAUGGAGGAGCAGAGACUGCAUGGUGGGGGUUGUGAGUGGGGAGAAAGCGUCCACUCACCUGAAAGCCCAACGACCUGGUCUCCUCGGCAUCAGACUUACACAGCAGUUCCAUCCACCUUGACCUUAGGGCUCAGGGCAUCUGCAGCCCUACUGCCGGCCCUCGGCCUCACUGCCCUCAUCUGGCAGCUUCUAUGUGCUCUCGGGGCUGGAGAGGUCAGGAAGAAAUAGACAGAGUGGGCCAGGCUUGGUCGGAGUCCAUACAGAGCAGGCCCCCUCUGCACGGGGAGUCACAGAUUUCUGGAAACCUCAGCUGAGCCUGGUGCAGUGGCACAGAGCAGCCCUGCCCCAGUUCCCAGUGGUGACUCCUCUGGGGUUCAGCACAUGGGACAGAAGACCUGCCCUGGGGAGGUGCAAAAGAGCGGCAAUGCUAACGCCACCUGGGCUCCCUGGCCCUGCAGGUGAGUGAGGAUGAAGGGGAGCAGGCUGGUCUGGCCAGGGAGAAACUGGGGCUUUUUUUUUUUUUUUUUUUUUUUUGAGAGACAGUGUGCCCUUGCAGAGAGAAUACAAAUGAUGGUGUCACAUGUUGAGCACCUGCUAUCUGCUCAGCAGUGAGCCAGACACUUCCAUGGGUGUUGCUAAUUCCCAUCACCAGCUACCAGAUGAGGUCCGGUCAGCCCCAUUUCACAAAUCAGUGACUGAGGCUCAGAGAUGAAAUAAAUGGCCCUAGGUCACACAACUUGCAGGUGGCAGAACCAAGGUGAGUGUCCCUCCAAAGGCUAGAGACCCUCCUCCCAGCAUGUUAGGCUGUAGCUGGACCCUCCAGGCCCACAGACCAUGUGGGUAGCUGGCACCAUCAUCUGAAAGGACCCUAUGCUGGGAGUCUCUCCAAGCCAGCCAAGGCCACCAUCCCUUGCUUCUCUUUCCCACAGACCUCUGAGUCGGGGUAGGGAGUUUGCGAAAGCGAAGGGCCAAUAUCAGGAGAUCGGGGCGCCAUUUCAGGGGGUGAGACCCUGGGCAAGUUGCCUCUCUGGGUCUCAACUUUCUGAUCUGUAAAGUGAGAACGCUACUCGUUGUCUGGCCUGGGUCUCAGGUUGUUGUAUGGACCCAGUGAGAGGAAGUAUCGGAAAUCCUCUGAAGUCUGCGGACAGCUGGAUAAAGGCUUACGGAGGCUUUCAUUUGUGCCAUGUGCUGUAAGUGGGUCACAGGCAUCACCUUAUUCUUAUUUAGACCUUAGGAGGUUGAAGAAAUUAUUCACAUUUUGCAGAUGAAGGGUUGAGGGAUAGGGAAGUUAAGUAGCUCGAGGUCACACAGGAGCAAAGCCAGGACUGGACUCAGGUCUUCUGAGGCCUAAGCACUACUCUUCCUCUUCCCUAGACGGUGCUCAUAGCACUGGACGGGGAAGGGCUGGGUAGGACAGCAGGACUGCUGGGCCCCUUCUAGAAGGACAGCCUACACUUGCGGGGGCUCUCACCUCUGAGGAUUCCUUCCUGGCUCCCCUCCCUUGGACCCUUGACUACAGCAGCCUGAGAGAGUGACCUUGACUUCCUGGGUGGCAGCAGGGGGACUGGGUGGAAGGGAGAAAUGGGAGCCAAGGGCAUUGCUUAUCCUCAGGGAGAGAGCUGGAUGUACACAGGGGAAUGUGUGUGCACAAGCACACGCACACGCAC
Molecule: long non-coding RNA, 2092 nt
Filed under: Homo sapiens (human)
Lineage: Eukaryota; Metazoa; Chordata; Mammalia; Primates; Hominidae
Description: non-protein coding lnc-TSPAN9-1:3
Source: RNAcentral